CCUACGUGGGCAGCAGUGGGGAAUAUUGCACCAUGGGGGAAACCCUGAUGCAGCGACGCCGCGUGAGUGAAGAAGUAAUUCGUUACGUAAAGCUCUAUCAGCAGGGAAGAAAAUGACGGUACCUGAGUAAGAAGCCCCGGCUAACUACGGGCCCGCAGCCGCGGUAAUGCGUAGGGGGCAAGCGUUAUCCGGAUUUACUGGGGGUAAAGGGAGCGUAGACGGUGCGCCAAGUCAGGAGUGAAAUGCCGCAGGUUAACUGCGGAACUGCUUUGGAAACUGGCGAACUAGUGUGCGGGAGGGGUAAGCGGAAUUCCAUGUGUAGCGGUGAAAUGCGUAGAUAUUAGGAAGAACACCGGUGGCGAAGGCGGCUUACUGGACCGUAACUGACGUUGAGGGUCGAAAGCGUGGGGAGCAAACAGGAUUAGAUACCCUGGUAGUC
Molecule: ribosomal RNA, 439 nt
Filed under: uncultured bacterium
Lineage: Bacteria
Description: partial 16S ribosomal RNA
Rfam family: Bacterial small subunit ribosomal RNA
Source: RNAcentral